Non-coding RNA from Dermacentor albipictus, 173 nucleotides. The record is from RefSeq and is a predicted model, not a curated record. Lineage: Eukaryota; Metazoa; Arthropoda; Arachnida; Ixodida; Ixodidae.
UGGCAUACUCGUGCCUUAUGAGCCACCGAAGCCCCGAAGUGCUCUGGCAUAUACCUUCACAUAUAUGCAAUGGCAAGCCCUUCCGUGUGUUCCAAAGACAAUGCCUACGCCUAGCCACAGCAGCUCCCUCAUACAGACUCCGCAAGCCAAGAGGCCGUGGAGGCAAAUGCAGG